RNAcentral lists this transfer RNA (72 nucleotides) under Olea europaea subsp. europaea. It matches the Rfam family "tRNA". Rfam says of the family: Transfer RNA (tRNA) molecules are approximately 80 nucleotides in length. Their secondary structure includes four short double-helical elements and three loops (D, anti-codon, and T loops). Further hydrogen bonds mediate the characteristic L-shaped molecular structure. tRNAs have two regions of fundamental functional importance: the anti-codon, which is responsible for specific mRNA codon recognition, and the 3' end, to which the tRNAs corresponding amino acid is attached (by aminoacyl-tRNA synthetases). tRNAs cope with the degeneracy of the genetic code in two manners: having more than one tRNA (with a specific anti-codon) for a particular amino acid; and 'wobble' base-pairing, i.e. permitting non-standard base-pairing at the 3rd anti-codon position. The record is from Rfam by way of RNAcentral. Lineage: Eukaryota; Viridiplantae; Streptophyta; Magnoliopsida; Lamiales; Oleaceae.
GUGGCUGUCGUUUAGUGAUAAGAAUUCCACGUUGUGGCCCUGGGGACUUGGGCUCGUAUCCCAGCAGCCACA